Molecule: ribosomal RNA, 389 nt
Filed under: uncultured Cenococcum
Lineage: Eukaryota; Fungi; Ascomycota; Dothideomycetes; Gloniales; Gloniaceae
Description: eukaryotic LSU rRNA
Rfam family: 5.8S ribosomal RNA (bases 80-233)
Source: RNAcentral
UUCCCGGCCAGGAGGGAUACAUCCAAAAACUCCCUGUUUUUAACGGGUGGUUGUCCGAGCUACCAAGCAACGAAUCAAAAACUUUCAACAACGGAUCUCUUGGUUCUGGCAUCGAUGAAGAACGCAGCGAAAUGCGAUAAGUAGUGUGAAUUGCAGAAUUCAGUGAAUCAUCGAAUCUUUGAACGCACAUUGCGCCCCUUGGUAUCCCGAGGGGCAUGCCUGUUCGAGCGUCAUUUCACCACUCAAGCCUGGCUUGGUGUUGGGCGACGUCCCCUUUGGGGACGCGCUUCGAAACGUUCGGCGGCGUGGCACCGGCUUUAAGCGUAGCAGAAUCUUUCGCUGUGAAAGUCGGGGCCCCGUCUGCCGGAAGACCUACUCGCAAGGUUGAC